CCCCUUUGAAAUCGCCGGCGGGGCGCCUAUAUUGCGCGCUGUCCGGGCAACCGGACUAUGGUGAUAAACGCGCACGUAAUAAGCGGAUCGGACCCGGGGGCGGUACCCGGCGGCUCCACCAAGCACCCUCGUUGGGGGCGGACGGGGCCGAAACAGGAUCGACGGACGUCUAAAGGUGUUUGCUUUCACUCGGCAGGAUGCCACCGUUACCGGCUCAAGAGCAAUAGUUGCCAACGACAACCGUGCUCCGGUGGCGCUCGCCGCGUAAGCGGCUAGCAAAACCAAAUCUAAGUCCCGGGCCUUAGCCGGUUCGGGCGGGGUUCGCAGGCACCUGGCAACAGAAGCCUGCACU
RNAcentral lists this transfer-messenger RNA (352 nucleotides) under Rhodovulum sulfidophilum. It matches the Rfam family "Alphaproteobacteria transfer-messenger RNA". Rfam says of the family: Bacterial tmRNA, also known as 10Sa RNA or SsrA, is named for its dual tRNA and mRNA-like properties. Lineage: Bacteria; Pseudomonadati; Pseudomonadota; Alphaproteobacteria; Rhodobacterales; Paracoccaceae. The record is from RNAcentral.